UUGAGUGAUGAAAAAAACCGACAAAUCUAGGGAUUCCUCAUGCCGAAUACAUUAUGUGGAUUUGUUUAGUUUCAGCCUUGUCUGACU
Molecule: small nucleolar RNA, 87 nt
Filed under: Pestalotiopsis fici W106-1
Lineage: Eukaryota; Fungi; Ascomycota; Sordariomycetes; Amphisphaeriales; Sporocadaceae
Description: A. fumigatus snoRNA Afu_455
Rfam family: A. fumigatus snoRNA Afu_455
Source: Rfam by way of RNAcentral